UCCUACGGGAGGCAGCAGUAGGGAAUCUUCCGCAAUGGACGAAAGUCUGACGGAGCGACACAGCGUGUAGGACGAAGGCCUUUUGGUCGUAAACUACUGUUAUUUGGGAAGAAAAAUUUCGAUAGGAAAUGAUCGGAACUUGACGGUACCAUUUCAGAAAGCACUGGCAAACUAUGUGCCAGCAGCCGCGGUAAUGCAUAGAGUGCAAGCGUUAUCCGGAAUUAUUGGGCGUAAAGGGUUCGUAGGUGGUUUAUUAAGUCUGAAGUUAAAGCCUGGGGCUCAACCCCAGUUCGCUUUGGAUACUGAUAGACUAGAGUUAUAAAGAGGUUAGUGGAACUCCAUGUGAAGUGGUGGAAUACGUAGAUAUAUGGAAGAACACCAAUGGCGAAGGCAACUAACUGGUUAUAUACUGACACUGAGGAACGAAAGCGUGGGGAGCAAACAGGAUUAGAUACCCUGGUAGUCC
RNAcentral lists this ribosomal RNA (466 nucleotides) under Leptospira interrogans. RNAcentral describes it as "bacterial SSU rRNA". It matches the Rfam family "Bacterial small subunit ribosomal RNA", at positions 337 to 796 of the family's 1533-position model. The record is from RNAcentral. Lineage: Bacteria; Pseudomonadati; Spirochaetota; Leptospiria; Leptospirales; Leptospiraceae.